GAUGAACGCUGACAGAAUGCUUAACACAUGCAAGUCAACUUGAAUUUGGGUUUUUAACUUAGAUUUGGGUGGCGGACGGGUGAGUAACGCGUAAAGAACUUGCCUCACAGUUAGGGACAACAUUUAGAAAUGAAUGCUAAUACCUGAUAUUAUGAUUUUAAGGCAUCUUAGAAUUAUGAAAGCUAUAAGCACUGUGAGAGAGCUUUGCGUCCCAUUAGCUAGUUGGAGAGGUAACAGCUCACCAAGGCGAUGAUGGGUAGCCGGCCUGAGAGGGUGAACGGCCACAAGGGGACUGAGACACGGCCCUUACUCCUACGGGAGGCAGCAGUGGGGAAUAUUGGACAAUGGACCGAGAGUCUGAUCCAGCAAUUCUAUGUGCACGAUGAAGUUUUUCGGAAUGUAAAGUGCUUUCAGUUGGGAAGAAAAAAAUGACGGUACCAACAGAAGAAGUGACGGCUAAAUACGUGCCAGCAGCCGCGGUAAUACGUAUGUCACGAGCGUUAUCCGGAUUUAUUGGGCGUAAAGCGCGUCUAGGUGGUUAUGUAAGUCUGAUGUGAAAAUGCAGGGCUCAACUCUGUAUUGCGUUGGAAACUGUAUAACUAGAGUACUGGAGAGGUAAGCGGAACUACAAGUGUAGAGGUGAAAUUCGUAGAUAUUUGUAGGAAUGCCGAUGGGGAAGCCAGCUUACUGGACAGAUACUGACGCUAAAGCGCGAAAGCGUGGGUAGCAAACAGG
This 735-nucleotide ribosomal RNA is filed under the name uncultured Fusobacterium sp. RNAcentral describes it as "bacterial SSU rRNA". It matches the Rfam family "Bacterial small subunit ribosomal RNA", at positions 28 to 776 of the family's 1533-position model. Lineage: Bacteria; Fusobacteriati; Fusobacteriota; Fusobacteriia; Fusobacteriales; Fusobacteriaceae. The record is from RNAcentral.